UAGGCGGUGAUUGCUGCUCCUGCGUUAGGCGGUGAUUGCUGCUCCUGCGUGUUGCUUGUGCUGUGCAGGGGCUGGUGUUGCUCUUUUUUGGUGUUGUCAUCUUUGUUUGAAGUUAGAAGGUUCAAUCACGGUCUCAUCUACAGUGUUUUUACGGUUGAUCAAAUGGCGAAUGGCAAUAGAAAGAACAAUACCGUAUGGCUUUAUCCACAAGCGAGGAAACAAUAUAAUUCAAAUGACUGUGGAUACUAUGUAAUGAAAAAUAUGUUGGACAUUGUCACUGCUAAGAUAACUGAUUCUUGGAUGGAGGUAUUUAAUGACCCAAAAGAGUUAACAGCUGAGGAGAUGUAUGAAUUGCGAUUACGUUGGUCAACAUAUUUUUUGGAGUUAUUGGAGGGUUAAGAUUUAUCUGGGUGAUGAAUUGGUUAUUAGCUUUAGUUUGAGUCUUGGAAGCAGAUCAGGUGAUGGAAUUGGUAUUUUGGCUCGGAUGUGCAUCUCACUGUUUUGGACUGUUUAUUUUGGACUAUUUUAGGAUGGUUUUAUAUGAAGGAAU
Long non-coding RNA from Trifolium pratense (red clover), 550 nucleotides. RefSeq lists it as uncharacterized. The transcript has 5 exons. Lineage: Eukaryota; Viridiplantae; Streptophyta; Magnoliopsida; Fabales; Fabaceae. The record is from RefSeq and is a predicted model, not a curated record.